This is a long non-coding RNA of Epinephelus moara (kelp grouper), 2752 nucleotides long. RefSeq lists it as uncharacterized. The record is from RefSeq and is a predicted model, not a curated record. NCBI's taxonomy places the organism in Eukaryota, Metazoa, Chordata, Actinopteri, Perciformes, Serranidae. The transcript is spliced from 2 exons.
UCUGGAAAUGUUUGUUUUUGUAGGAGUUUGUUUAACUCAGUCUGGAAAUUGCUGUAAUAAAGGUUCACCAUGAAACAAUCAAGAUCAGCUUUAAAGUCUUCUGCAGAGGUGUGUGUGUGUUGUACUUCUUUUUUAGUGAGGACCACUUUGAGUUUUAGACCAAAAGAGUGAUGACAUUGUGUCUUCUGUCCUCAGCCUCUUAAAGGCCAGUUUGAAAGUUGUGACAGGUUAAAGGUUUGAAUCAGGUAUUGUGUGUGUGGUUGCAGUUGUGGUGAUGGAUGUGAGAAAGACAAAAAGUAAAGUUUUGGGGGUCGGGGCAGCACUUAACAGAUUUUUACCAAAUCUGAAUUGUAACUGUAAAGCUGUAAAGACAAUUAUUAAGUGCUUUAGAUAAAAGAGUUAUAUUUACUUAAUAUAUAACUGCAGUCUAAUAACCACUUACUUUCUGCUUCCAGCACAAAAUGCCUGUAUAUUACAUACGAUUAUACCAAUUAUAAAACACUUACAUCUGUCCAAACUUUUUUUUUUACAUUUUUUUCUCAUACAUAAAACUUUAACUAGACAUCAAUCAUUAUUAUUAAUCAGUAAUCAAUCAAACUAAUAUAUCAAAAUGUCACUACUGAAUGUAAUUGAGGGUUUUUUUAAUAUCAUGUGUGAUGGGAGUUGUUGAGAUUGUUUCAUUUAUUAGUUUAAUUUAUUGAUGAUCUUAACGGCCAUGAUCAAGAAAUUUUACCUCCUUAGUUCUAUAAAUGAUGUGUAGAUGGUACUGUCUGAUUGAGUACGAAUUAAAGCCUGCAUCACAGAAACACUUCGUACAUUGCAGCCAAAAACAACCCAUAAUUCUCUGUGUACUAGUGGUACAAUAAAAGAAGGAGCACAAUACAAGAUAUAUUUGAUUACGGCAAUAAAAAAAUAGAUGAAGAUCAACAGAGUCGGACUAGUCACAUGAAAUGUGAUGAAUAAUUUGAUUAAUAAUAAUAAAUAAUUAUGUGAUGGCAAAGUAGGAUAAUGAAACAAUAAAAGCAACGUUCAAUGAUCCAAGUUAGAAAGGGACCAACCUCUUUAAAGAGGGUUGAGUCUUGUCUGCUGAAGUGUAAAGACCCUGACACACCAAGCUGACGGUCGGCUGUUAGUCAGUGUCAGGCUGUUAGUGAGAAUCUGUCGCCCUAGUCUUUGCAGUAUGUCCCGCACCGUUGGCCGUCGUCAGAUUCAGCAUGUUAAAACGGCUCUUAUUGUCAGUUCAGCUCAGUGCACAAGAAGAGAAACGGAAGUGAGGAAAGUAAACAAACAGCUAAAGUCAAGAGGAAGUGAGAUCAAAACAAACUUGUUACGUAAGGUCAGAUUAUUUUCUUUAGCCAUUGAGCUCCUCUGCAGAAACAUUUCCUGAUGGUUUGUUUUUGUUCACCGGGGCACGGUAAAUAUCAUUUGUUCUUGUUCUGUGUUAUUAAUGAGCUAACCGGCUAACUAGCGUCUUCUAUUCGACCUGUCUGUCUUCCAGUUUCCCUUUUUAAAUUAAGUUUAUGGACUAUCGCCGUCUACUGCUGUGGAGAAUUAUUUCCUCUCAUACAGGCUCAAAACGUUUGUGCUGGUUGGCUGUUGGUUGUAAUCUUGACGAUGUGCAAUCUUGACAUUCCCUAGUUUGGUGUGUUUGGGCCAUAAGGACAAAACAUCACAGUCACCCUCUGUAAUCAGGUGAUAAUCAGGUAACUUGAAACGACCAGGAGAGUCCUGAUUGAAGAUUUUAGGAAGAGAUUAAAAUACCUGUAGUGUAACUUGUAAUUUGACAAUGAAGUGACCAAAACAUCAUCAACAGAAUCUUAAAUUAUCAAAGUGACAGGCAGCUAAUGAAGAAUGAAAGUUUGUUUGUGUUCUCCUUUAAUUAGUUGAAAUCCAAACAGCACCAUGUUUAAAAAAAAUUGAAGACAAGUGACUUCUGACUGAUUCCUUAAUAAAGAGAACUAUGAUCGUCCAGACGAAAUGAGAUUAAACCAUUUCAUACUUACUCACCAUCUGUGGUUGUUAAAAACAACUAAAUCUGACUGAUGAUCCUCAGCUGAAGGAAACAAGAUGGCUCCUCCACUGUCACUUUUUAAUUUCCAGACAAAGUGUUGAAAUACCUGCUAGCAGGUGGUCAGUUAAUCACAGGGUCGGUGGUUUGAUCCCCGGCUCCUCCUGUCCACAUGUCCAAGUGUCCUUGAGCAAAACACUGAAGCCCAAAUUGCUCCUGAUGGUCAGACAGCAGCUUGCAUGGUAGCUGGCUGACAUCAGUGUGUGAAUGAGUGAAUGAGGAAGAUAUAAAGUGCUAUAUAAAUGUAGUCCAUUUACCAAAUAUGAUCCUGCAGCUUGUAGUUGUUAAAGGUCCUAACUGAGCUCCACAUGGACAUUAACAGAAACAUGAGACUUCACUGAACUAAAGCCUGCUGUCACGCUGUCAAAGAAAUGUGAAUAUUUUGGAGCUAAAGUGAAAUAUAAUGGGACUUAUUGUUUAUUUUGAUAUUGAUCAUUGGGACAAACAUGUACUGCUUCUUUUUAUUGGUUAAGGUGCUAAGCCAGAGUCUGUCAGCUACAGUUACACACUGAACUAUACACUCAGUGUCCACUUUAUUAGGUACACUGUUGUUGACUGUCAUAUUUAGAAGCUCAUGCAUGUUUCUGUUGUUCUCUGAUGAUGCUCUUGCAGGUAUCAUGUAAUUUCAGGCAGAGCUUCAUCAUUUCUGUUCAAACGUUUGAAUAAAACAUCAAAAAUGUCAAA